RNAcentral lists this ribosomal RNA (475 nucleotides) under uncultured organism. RNAcentral's name for it is "partial 16S ribosomal RNA". It matches the Rfam family "Bacterial small subunit ribosomal RNA", at positions 330 to 797 of the family's 1533-position model. The record is from RNAcentral.
CGUACACUCCUGCGGGAGGCAGCAGUGGGGAAUUUUGGACAAUGGGCGAAAGCCUGAUCCAGCCAUGCCGCGUGCAGGAUGAAGGCCUUCGGGUUGUAAACUGCUUUUGUACGGAACGAAACGGCCUUUUCUAAUAAAGAGGGCUAAUGACGGUACCGUAAGAAUAAGCACCGGCUAACUACGUGCCAGCAGCCGCGGUAAUACGUAGGGUGCAAGCGUUAAUCGGAAUUACUGGGCGUAAAGCGUGCGCAGGCGGUUAUGUAAGACAGUUGUGAAAUCCCCGGGCUCAACCUGGGAACUGCAUCUGUGACUGCAUAGCUAGAGUACGGUAGAGGGGGAUGGAAUUCCGCGUGUAGCAGUGAAAUGCGUAGAUAUGCGGAGGAACACCGAUGGCGAAGGCAAUCCCCUGGACCUGUACUGACGCUCAUGCACGAAAGCGUGGGGAGCAAACAGGAUUAGAUACCCGUGUAGUCCC